GUCCUCAGAAACCUUGUUGAGGUCUUUCUCCAAUUCCUCCAGCCAGCUGAAAUACUGCCAAGCUCACUUCAUAUGCAAGGCUGUCUGUGUUUUCCUGCAAGUUACAUAAAAGGAUAUUAGAUGAAAAAGACACAGCAUCUACCAGGUUACUUGCAACUCCAGGGGGAGGGAGCUUUCCAAUUUUGUUUCAUUAACAAAUAAUUCAAAUGAGAACUUUUUUUCAUCUUUCAGUAACAAAUUACAAGACCCUUAUCUAAGUGGAAAACAAGUCACAUUUUUCUAAAUCAGCCCAGAUUCUACUUCUCAGCAUCUAGCCUCUGGAAGUACUGUGUGAACCAAGAAUAAUGCAGAGGAAGGAAACAGCUACACUUGAACCAACAAGCUAUCCAGGACUUGCUUCAAAAUAAUAUUGGGGCUGUGGAUGACACUAGUUGAAGCCAGUGUAAAGGGGGUUCAUUAUUUUGUUCUCACAUCUUUAAAGUUUAAAAAAUAAAAUAAAAUCCUUUACAGUGAUACAUAUUUAUAAUAAA
Odocoileus virginianus texanus is the source of this 530-nucleotide non-coding RNA. NCBI's taxonomy places the organism in Eukaryota, Metazoa, Chordata, Mammalia, Artiodactyla, Cervidae. The record is from RefSeq and is a predicted model, not a curated record.